AUCCCCCUCCCCCAGCUCCCCAACUUGCCUGUUUCGUCUCGUUGUUUACUCCCUUCUUCGCAAGCGAUCUUGGAAGCGUCUAGGAUCUAGCGUUUUUUUAAUUAAGCGCCUCCUCUUCUUUUAUCAGCCUCCAUCGUCACCCUCCUGCGCUAAGCCGCUAAUUAGCCUCGUCUGUUUCUCCUGCCUUCCUGCCCGUGUCUGCUCUGCUGCCAGUCGCCACCAACCGAGCCAAGAGAGGAGGAAGAUGGCGGCGAAAGAAAUCCUGGAAAGCUGACCCCUUGCUUGAUGCACAUGAGGCCCCCCUUUUGUUUCCGCCCAGAUUAGCUGCUGCGAUUCCUCACCCGAUUUGCCUCUUCCUCCCCGGCCUCGAGUUUGCAUUCUCUGCCGCUGCUGCGACUCGCCUCGGUAUGGUUCUUCCCCCAUCCUAGCUCGUCGUCUCCUUCCUUGGUCUCGAGGAUUUCGUGUUCGAGGAUGGGGGAUUGAUUUCUCGUGCGCCGAUCCGGUUUCAGGCUUAAUCUUUGUGCCUAGGAUUCCCCUUUCUUGAUUCCGUCGCCAUAAUUGCCGUGCCACAGAUUGCAGCAGCAGCAGCAGCAGCCCGCGCUUUGCAGCCCCUUCCAAGAAACGGCUGCAAGCUUUGGCUGUUUCCGCCUGCCCGCCCCACAAAUCCCGCACGAAACCCUCCACCGCCCAAGAAAAAGCGGCGGCUUUUCGGCCGGCUGGCGUCCAUCUUCUCACGAGUUUGGUGAGGUUCUGGAGCCGGCGCAGGCCUUUCUGCCGAAUAUCCCAAAGGCCCUUCCUGGUCCUUGGUGUCGGAAUCGGAGAGCUCCGCGCUCAGGCCGGAGCGGGUGUUUUUCUCGUCGGAGAUGGAGGGGAAUCUGCCGCCGCGAGCGCUGAUCCCCGGCGGAGCCCCCUUCGAUCUGGGGCAGCCGUUCCACUUCGCCGCCCAGCCCCAGGCGGCGGUUCAGGUUCACCAGGGCGCGUUCGCUGCCCCCGCCGCGAACCAGAUGCAGGAGCCCGGGAAUGCGGUGAAGGCCUCCCUGAGCGACGAGGAGGCCGCCGCCGACGGCCACCACGGCCGCGGCAAGGCGGCGGCGGCCCCGGCCUCCCAGUGGCACCGGGUCAAGUGGACCAGCGACAUGGUGAAGCUGCUCGUUUCGGCCGUCUCCUACAUCGACGACGACAUCGACGCCGACCACGGCACCAGCAGCGGGAGGAAGAAGCACGCCAUGCUCAAGAGGAAGGGCAAGUGGAGGCUCGUCUCCUCGGCCAUGACCGAGAGGGGGUUCCCCGUGUCACCGCAGCAGUGCGAGGACAAGUUCAACGACCUCAACAAGAGGUACAAGAGGCUCACUGAGAUCCUUGGCCGGGGCACGGCUUGUCAGAUCGUCGAGAAACCGGCACUCCUCGAACAGGUGAGCCUAUCUGCAAAGCUCAAGGAGGAGGCCAAGAAACACCUGAACUCAAAGCACCUGCACUACGAGGAGAUGUGCUCCUACCACAACCAUAACCGGCACUGCCUGCUUGAUGAUCCGGCCCUUCAGAGGUCGCUGCGUGUGGCGCUUAGGAGUCCGGAUGAACAGGGAAAGAAGUGCUCGUUUGGAUAUGAUGAUGAGGAUGAUCAGAUGUUCCUUUUUGAUGACGAUGACGAUGAUGACGGGUUCAAUGAUGAUCUGGAGGCCAGUGCUGAAGAUCAUCUUCACCACAGAGUUCAUGGCAACAAGAAGCUGAAGCAUGACCAUGAGGGGGGACACUGUGGGUCUCAUCUGUCAGAAGUUGCUGCCAUUGACAUGAAUAAAAUGUUUGCUGAGGGUGCUGGUGGUUCUGCUGCUGAGAAGAAUCUAAGUGGUAUGAAUGCAACUCAAAUUGAGAGAGAACGUCUGAAGAUUAAAGAGGGGAUGCUGAAACUCGAGCAGAGCCGUUUGAAGUGGCUGAGAUCCAGCAAGGAGAAGGACAGGGAACUGGAGAAGAUGAAGCUGGAGAAUGAAAGGAUGCAGCUGGAAAAUGAGCGGCUGGAGCUGGAGCUGGAGCUUAAGGAAAUUGAGAUGGGCAUCAAACCAAAGAGGAUUUGGUGAUGACAUGGUGGAAAUGGUAGAACUAGAAACUCUAGAGUUGCUGGUUGUUAAGGAUAGUGUCGGGGGAAUAUACCGGCAGUCCCACCACGGGGCUACCCACGGUGGUAGAUUAUUUGUGGGAUCGCCAGACCAGGAGCAAGAUGGUAACGCAGGGACACAAAGACACAAGAUUUAUACAUGUUCGGGCCACCAGAUUAGCGCGACAGUAGUUCCUGGACAGAGUGGCCAGUUUUGAACGGAAAUGGAUGAAGAGGUUGUGAUUGCUUCCUUUGAGGUCCUUUUGCUGCUUUCACUUCAGGGCAAUUGUAUAUACAGUUGACACCUGAAUAGGAUAUGUAAUGUUAUAGCAUUACUUUGUUAAUCAUAUCGAUUGGUCGUGUGUUUGUGCGUGGCUAUAUUGAUCUCAAUAACAAGUGUAUAUCUUCUUUGGCUUGCUACUAUUGUUGUUCUCUGAAGAGUUUGUCCAAGGUCUGUCCUGGCCAAUACUACUCAACAAUCAACAUUGAUAUCACUGAAGAGUUUGAUAUCGUCAUGGUUUCCAGGUUGGCUAGAUCUAAGGUACUGCACAGUUUGAGAAGCCAUUUUUCACUGAUGUUUAAGUUGGUACCAUGCACGAUUGUAUUGUAUUGUCACUAGUCUUUGCGGACUAUAACUUCAGGAGCGUUUGCUGUCUUAUGCAGGACGAUUGUACUGCACAGUUUGUAUUGUACCAGCUAUGAGCUAGUAUAAUUGAAAACUCUGCGGGUUAUGCAUUUGCUUUGGCA
RNA transcript from Setaria italica (foxtail millet), 2836 nucleotides. RefSeq lists it as uncharacterized. NCBI's taxonomy places the organism in Eukaryota, Viridiplantae, Streptophyta, Magnoliopsida, Poales, Poaceae. The record is from RefSeq and is a predicted model, not a curated record. The transcript is spliced from 3 exons.